AACUAACAAGGAUUCCCCUAGUAACGGCGAGUGAACCGGGAAGAGCUCAAAUUUGAAAUCUGGCGUGCUCAGUGCGUCCGAGUUGUAAUCUAUAGAGGCGUUUUCCGUGCCGGACUGUGUCCAAGUCCCUUGGAACAGGGUAUCAAAGAGGGUGAUAAUCCCGUACUUGACACAAUGACCGGUGCUCUGUGAUACGUCUUCUACGAGUCGAGUUGUUUGGGAAUGCAGCUCAAAAUGGGUGGUGAGUUCCAUCUAAAGCUAAAUAUUGGCGAGAGACCGAUAGCGAACAAGUACCGUGAGGGAAAGAUGAAAAGCACUUUGGAAAGAGAGUUAAACAGUACGUGAAAUUGUUGAAAGGGAAACGAUUGAAGUCAGUCGUGACUGAGAGGCUCAGCCGGUUCUGCCGGUGUAUUCCCCUCAGUCGGGUCAACAUCAGUUUUGUUCGGUGGAUAAGGGCAGUUGGAAGGUGGCACCCUCGGGUGUGUUAUAGCCAGCUGUCGCAUACAUCGGAUGAGACUGAGGAAUGCAGCUCGCCUUUAUGGCCGGGGUCGCC
This 553-nucleotide ribosomal RNA is filed under the name Papiliotrema ruineniae. RNAcentral's name for it is "LSU rRNA". It matches the Rfam family "Eukaryotic large subunit ribosomal RNA", at positions 63 to 630 of the family's 3401-position model. Lineage: Eukaryota; Fungi; Basidiomycota; Tremellomycetes; Tremellales; Rhynchogastremaceae. The record is from RNAcentral.